UGGCGAACGGGUGAGUAACACGUGGGCAACCUGCCCAAAANAGGGGGAUAACACUUGGAAACAGGUGCUAAUACCGCAUAACCAUAGUUACCGCAUGGUAACUAUGUAAAAGGUGGCUAUACUACCGCUUUUGGAUGGGCCCGCGGCGCAUUAGCUAGUUGGUAGGGUAAAGGCUUACCAAGGCAAUGAUGCGUAGCCGAAUUGAGAGGUUGAUCGGCCACAUUGGGACUGAGACACGGCCCAAACUCCUACGGAAGGCAGCAG
RNAcentral lists this ribosomal RNA (264 nucleotides) under uncultured bacterium. RNAcentral describes it as "partial 16S ribosomal RNA". It matches the Rfam family "Bacterial small subunit ribosomal RNA", at positions 96 to 354 of the family's 1533-position model. The record is from RNAcentral.